GUGCCGAAAAAUGUGAUUCCAUCUGAGGAGCAACCUGUUGCAGAUAACCAAACAAAUGAUAUUCCUAUUGAUAUGCAAACUGAUGAGCAACAGGUUGUGGCACCGGAAGAAGUUGCAGCAGGAGAAGGUACAAUUGAAAGCACAAAAUAUGUAAGGGACCCCGGUAUGCGCCAGCAAAUUUGGGAACUCCCUCAUGAUGAGCAAGAAGAAGCACGCCGCUUCUAUAUUUUGAAGGGAGCUUAUCAACCAUACAUGAGAGAAUAUCCAUAUAAUAAACCAGGAAAAAAUCGUCGUCGAUUUCAAUACAGUUAUUUCAAUUCUUUUCCUUGGCUUGAGUAUUCGAUGGAAACACAUCGUGCGUACUGCCUACCUUGUUUUCUCUUCACAAAAAAGCCAAGUGGAAGGUGUGGCUCUGAUGCAUUCACAUUUAAGGGAUUUAAUAAUUGGAAGAAGGUGAAUGAUGGAAACGAAUGUGCUUUCUUAACUCACAUGGGCAAAGAUUCCAACUCCGCUCAUAACUUUUCUCAGCGGUGUCAUGAUAAUCUGAAAAAUAGUUUGACUCACAUUGACAAGUCAAUGGUGAAAGUGUGUGCAAAAAAGGUCGCAGAUGCAAGGCUAAGGCUUAAAGUUACAAUUGAUUGCAUCAAAUGGUUAACAUUCCAAGCUUGUGCUUAUAGAGGCCAUGACGAAUCUCCGGGAUCAAGUAAUCAGGGUAAUUUUCUUCAUCUGGUGAGGUUCUUGGCUUCUUAUAGCAAAGAGGUGAAUGCGGUUGUUUUCGAAAAUGCUCCAAGGAACGCGAAGUACACCUCCCAUACAGUGCAACUAGAAAUCCUCACAUUACUUUGUAGUAGAGUUAAGGAAAAAAUUAGAGAUGAAAUUGGUACUAGCAAGUUCUGCAGAAUGGUAGACGAAGCACGAGAUGAAUCAAAGAAAGAGCAAAUGGCAUUGGUUCUUCGAUUCCCGAGCACCGAGGGGUUCAUACAGGAGCGUUUUCUUGAUGUAAUUCAUGUCACUGACACUACUGCUUUGACUCUCAAGAAGGCAAUUUGCAAAGUCCUUUCUGAUAAUAAUUUGAAUGUCCAAGACAUUAGAGGACAAGGCUAUGACGGGGCAAGUAAUAUGAGAGGUGAAUGGAAUGGAUUGAAGGCUCUAAUUCUGAAUGACUGCCCUUAUGCAUAUUAUGUGCAUUGCAUGGCUCAUUAGUUACAGUUAGCUCUUGUUGCCGCGUCAAGGGAGGUACAUGAUGUGCAUAACUUUUUCCAAAAUGCAAAUUUCAUUAUAAAUGUUGUUAGCGCAUCGACUAAACGUAAUGAUGAGUUGUUAGCAAAUAAAGUUGCGGAGAUUGCACUCCUAAGGAGUAUAGCAAAUGACCGUGCAGCCUCGAAAUAUUCUAGAGGAGAUGCCGUAGGAGCCCUAAAAAUAAUUAUGUCAUUUGAUUUUGUGUUCAUUUUACAUCUAAUGGAGUAAAUCAUGAAAAUCACUAAUGUUUUAUGUCAAACAAUCCAAAAGAAGUCACUA
This 1518-nucleotide ribosomal RNA is filed under the name Triticum aestivum (bread wheat). RNAcentral's name for it is "partial small subunit ribosomal RNA". The record is from RNAcentral. Lineage: Eukaryota; Viridiplantae; Streptophyta; Magnoliopsida; Poales; Poaceae.